UAACACGUGGAUAACCUGCCUUAUACUGGGGGAUAACAGCCAGAAAUGGCUGCUAAUACCGCAUAAGCGCACGGCGCCGCAUGGCGCAGUGUGAAAAACUCCGGUGGUAUAAGAUGGAUCCGCGCCUGAUUAGCUAGUUGGCGGGGCAGCGGCCCACCAAGGCGACGAUCAGUAGCCGGCCUGAGAGGGCGACCCGGCCACAUUGGGACUGAGACACGGCCCAAACUCCUACGGAAGGCAGCAG
This 244-nucleotide ribosomal RNA is filed under the name uncultured bacterium. RNAcentral's name for it is "partial 16S ribosomal RNA". It matches the Rfam family "Bacterial small subunit ribosomal RNA", at positions 111 to 354 of the family's 1533-position model. The record is from RNAcentral.